CUUUGUUGGACUGGCUCAUUCUGUAAAAAUGUUGUCAACAUCAGCAAGGCAACUAAUAGGAUCUAAACAAUUAGAAAACGCUGAAAAAAUGUAUGUUCAGGAUCUGAAUAUUUUGGAUCCAGAUUUGUACAAGAGCACUUCAGUCUUAUGUAGAGCAGCUGUUACAUGUUUUGACACGCAUGAUGGAUGGUGGUACAAAGCAUGUCCAUGCUGCUACAAACAACUCA
Molecule: long non-coding RNA, 227 nt
Organism: Pyrus x bretschneideri (Chinese white pear)
Lineage: Eukaryota; Viridiplantae; Streptophyta; Magnoliopsida; Rosales; Rosaceae
Exons: 2
Source: RefSeq, a predicted model, not a curated record